CCGCUGGUUGGAGACGCUCGCCACCGAUUUCUCUCAAGAUGUUAGAGAACAAGAAACAGCACAGAAGACAUAAGCCGCAAGAAAACACAGGACACCUGAGAACAAGAACUUAAAACUAAACAGUAAACUUCUAAUACCCGUUUAUGGUAAACUUACCAAAGUAACAGCUUGGCAAAGUUUUUGCGCUGACGGGAACGUAACAAACGUUUUUCAAGCAAAUCCUGACGAUGAGCAAUGGCGUCUAAUAUAUGAUCGACCGAAACUUUGCAUUUGUAAGCUGCUUGUUCAAGGAGAACUGACAGCUCCGAGUCUUCAGACCUUUUAGUAAAAAAACGACAUCAAAUCGUUUUUCCAGAAACAAAAAAAAACAUAAAAUCACCUGAACAAGGUUGACAAUUUUUCUUCGAAAAUUUGUUUUAAUUUUUCUUUCAAUUUUAAUAUGGUCUCAUCACUAUCUUCAACAACAUCAAUUUGCAGACAUGAAGCAGUUAUAAGUGUUUCACAUAAUGUCCUUUGUUGCUGUAAUUCACUGGAAGACAGUAAUGCAGAUAUAUGUGAAGGAACUUGAAGUGUGUCCAAUUUUUGCAAUUUAUCAAAACAGUAAAAAGUGUAUCUUUUGGCAAAUGACAGAGGAUGAAAUAAAGAUUCAUAAUUCAUUAAAAAGGGAUGAAGAAUUUCAAAGAAACUAUUUGGUAUAAGUUCUGGGCAGCAUCUCCACAUAUGUUCAUUAAAUGAUUCCUUAAAAGUGUUUUUGCCAUUCAGAUGUAACUCUACAUUAUGUGCAACUGCAACAGCACAAUACACAACCACAGAAGCAAUUUCUUCACUAAUUUCAUCAACAUUCAUUUCACCAUGUGAAAUAUGAUCCCUUAAUCGUAAACCAGCAGGCAAAUUGAAUAUGUCAAUCAACAGCUCCUGAGAGUAGUAAUAAAACACUUGAAUUAAA
Ciona intestinalis (vase tunicate) is the source of this 946-nucleotide non-coding RNA. The record is from RefSeq and is a predicted model, not a curated record. NCBI's taxonomy places the organism in Eukaryota, Metazoa, Chordata, Ascidiacea, Phlebobranchia, Cionidae.